RNAcentral lists this long non-coding RNA (1693 nucleotides) under Megachile rotundata (alfalfa leafcutting bee). RNAcentral describes it as "uncharacterized LOC105664304". Lineage: Eukaryota; Metazoa; Arthropoda; Insecta; Hymenoptera; Megachilidae. The record is from RNAcentral.
UGUAUUUUUGAAGUGUUUUAUCUUAAAAAUAUGAUAGAGUUAUUCAAAAGUCCGUAACUGCUAAAGUAUUAACUUGCAGUAAAUAUUAGUGGGCAGUUAACUUGGUAGAAACAUCGUGCUUUUAUAAUUUUGUAAAAUAACGAGUCUGUAAAUUCAGUUUUUUGAAAUAUUUUUGGAAGAAUAACGAACGCUGCGUUCGUCAAUGGCGGCGAUCCGACGGUGUGCGUUCAUCCGCUGCUUCUAUGAAAAUCGCCGUAAAACACCCACUGAAAAAUGCGAUUAAACAGCAUUGAUCGAUACAGUAUUGCUUAAAGUAUUAAUCAUUGUCAAAUUUUAAAAUCUGUACAACUCAAACUAUUUGAAACAUCAUAAAAUAACCAAAAUUCAGCUCGUCUGAAUCGAAUUAAAAUAAAAGGAAAUACAAAUACAUUUUUUUAGCAAAAACCGACGAAUAGUUAAUUAAACACAAAAUUCAUAAUAUUUGCACCAGAAGCUACAAACAAAAUGAAGACAAAUUUGACAUUCAUUUAUUUUCGAUUGUUCCGAAAACAGCAGCAUUCGAACAUAUUUUCAUAGCGAAUGAUGUAUCCGCGAUUAACAAUAAUCCCGUAACGAAUGCACGCAUUGCGGAAACACAAAUCGUUUACAAGUUACGGAACCGGAAUAUACACCCUUUGUUCGCCUACAUCGACAAUUUAGAUCUGAUGAUUAACGAAUCAUCGAUGGAUUUCGAUCGAAAAUCUCGAAACACGUACUCAAUAGUGUUCCACGAAAUACUGAUACGAAAGUGACGCACGAUUCGUAAAAUACGACGUCCAGAUAAUUUUACGAACGUUCGAGGGAAAGCUAAAAAAAGAAGCAGCUCGUCGUGUUCGAACUACGAAAUAUCGAAAACCCGUUUCGAAUCGAGACAAAUUGUCUCGUUAGGCGACGUGUCGCCUUUGAUCGAAGAUAAUCACCGUAAAAAUCAAAAGUAAUAACGGAUUUAAGGGUAAUCAAGAAAAGAAGAGCGAAGGGGUGGCCGAGAGGGGGUGAGAGUAGUAUAAUUCAGAGUCGACAAGUCGUUGUUAUCAAUAACAUUUUUGCAGAGGCCGUAAUAUCCCGGGAAAGUAAUUAGAGUAAAUUCAGGGGUUGCCGAGCGACCCUUCCAGCCGCACAAAAUGGCGGCGGGAACCGCCCUUGCGAAAAAAAUUAGGCCUCCUUCCGCUGCGCGGUAAAAUUUACAUGAAAAAAAGGAACGCCCAGCGGCUUUCGGGAAACGAAGCUUCGACAAUGCGACUCAUUCUUUUUUUUUUACGUGUGUGUGUGUUUUUUUUUCGCUUUUUAUGGGUAAAUCGAAGGGAGUCCCCGUAGCGGGGUUGCCUGCCAGGGAAAUACCUGUAAUUUAUGUGUAGGAAAUGGAAAAAAUAUGGUAAAAGGUCACGUUCGCUGGUAGACUUUAAAAACGAUUAGAAUCUUAAUAUCCGUCGUAAAAUACGGACCCGGGCAUUAUCAAACGAAUGAACGUGCAAAUAAACGAAACAGGAUAAUUCAUUAACCCUCUAUGUACCUGUGAAUCGUAAAGUUUCAAAUUUCUUUUCUAUCUUUACUCUUGUGACCCAGAAGGAACAUUUUAAAAAUUUUCUUGUGAAAAUAAUCUUUAACUAAUUUCUUUGCAAUGUUAUUAUUGAAAUUCUAUAUUAACGGUUGUGUU